This is a long non-coding RNA of Daktulosphaira vitifoliae (grape phylloxera), 384 nucleotides long. RefSeq lists it as uncharacterized. The record is from RefSeq and is a predicted model, not a curated record. NCBI's taxonomy places the organism in Eukaryota, Metazoa, Arthropoda, Insecta, Hemiptera, Phylloxeridae. The transcript is spliced from 2 exons.
CAGGUUAUAGAAACUUGUUUUUGUCAUCUUGUCAUAUUCGAAUCCAAGAUCAGUGUAAUUGAUUUUAAUUAUAUCAUCGAUACUAUCGGUAAUAUAUUUAAGAAGAAAAUCAAAAGGUGUGUUAUUUUUUUUUUUCAAUUGACAACCAUAAAUUUCAUCUAAAUUUUUUUUCGUUGAUUCCCUAUCAAGUGGAUCAUUAUCAUCACCAUCAACAUACAUGGUUAUAUAGCAAUUUGUGUCGAAGAUUAUACUUUUUAACAUAUUGUCAAUAUUUACGUAUAAAAUAUAGAACCUAUCAUCAUUUAAUUCUGUAUUGAUUUCAAUUUCGUUAAAGUUAUUCAAUGUAGUAAUUAAAUCGUACAAAAUUUGUUUUUCAACGCUUAC